CGGAAGUGGCUCAGUGGUAGAGCAUCACCUUGCCAAGGUGAGGGUCGGGAGUUCGAAUCUCCUCUUCC
RNAcentral lists this transfer RNA (68 nucleotides) under marine eukaryotic metagenome. It matches the Rfam family "tRNA". From Rfam's summary of the family: Transfer RNA (tRNA) molecules are approximately 80 nucleotides in length. Their secondary structure includes four short double-helical elements and three loops (D, anti-codon, and T loops). Further hydrogen bonds mediate the characteristic L-shaped molecular structure. tRNAs have two regions of fundamental functional importance: the anti-codon, which is responsible for specific mRNA codon recognition, and the 3' end, to which the tRNAs corresponding amino acid is attached (by aminoacyl-tRNA synthetases). tRNAs cope with the degeneracy of the genetic code in two manners: having more than one tRNA (with a specific anti-codon) for a particular amino acid; and 'wobble' base-pairing, i.e. permitting non-standard base-pairing at the 3rd anti-codon position. The record is from RNAcentral.